RNAcentral lists this ribosomal RNA (577 nucleotides) under uncultured bacterium. RNAcentral's name for it is "partial 16S ribosomal RNA". It matches the Rfam family "Bacterial small subunit ribosomal RNA", at positions 355 to 925 of the family's 1533-position model. The record is from RNAcentral.
UGGGGAAUUUUGGACAAUGGGCGCAAGCCUGAUCCAGCCAUGCCGCGUGCGGGAAGAAGGCCUUCGGGUUGUAAACCGCUUUUGUCAGGGAAGAAAUCUUCUGAGUUAAUACCUCGGGAGGAUGACGGUACCUGAAGAAUAAGCACCGGCUAACUACGUGCCAGCAGCCGCGGUAAUACGUAGGGUGCAAGCGUUAAUCGGAAUUACUGGGCGUAAAGCGUGCGCAGGCGGUUUUGUAAGACAGAGGUGAAAUCCCCGGGCUCAACCUGGGAACUGCCUUUGUGACUGCAAGGCUUGAGUGCGGCAGAGGGGGAUGGAAUUCCGCGUGUAGCAGUGAAAUGCGUAGAUAUGCGGAGGAACACCGAUGGCGAAGGCAAUCCCCUGGGCCUGCACUGACGCUCAUGCACGAAAGCGUGGGGAGCAAACAGGAUUAGAUACCCUGGUAGUCCACGCCCUAAACGAUGUCAACUGGUUGUUGGGAAGGUUCCUUCUCAGUAACGUAGCUAACGCGUGAAGUUGACCGCCUGGGGAGUACGGCCGCAAGGUUGAAACUUAAAGGAAUUGACGGGGUCAUAGC